UAGGGAAUAUUGCAAAAUGGGCGAAAGCCCGAUGCAGCAACGCCGCGUGGGCGAUGAAGGCCUUCGGGUCGUAAAGCCCUUUUUGAGGGGAUGAGGAAGGACAGUACCCUCAGACUAAGCCUCGGCUAACUACGUGCCAGCAGCCGCGGUAAAACGUAGGAGGCGAGCGUUAUCCGGAUUUACUGGGCGUAAAGCGCGUGCAGGCGGAUUGGAGAGUUGGAUGUGAAAGCUCCCGGCUUAACUGGGAGAGGUCGUUCAAUACUUCCAGUCUUGAGUGCAGUAGAGGGAAGUGGAAUUCCGGGUGUAGUGGUGAAAUGCGUAGAUAUCCGGAGGAACACCAGUGGCGAAAGCGGCUUCCUGGACUGUAACUGACGCUCAGACGCGAAAGCUAGGGUAGCAAACG
Molecule: ribosomal RNA, 403 nt
Filed under: uncultured bacterium
Lineage: Bacteria
Description: bacterial SSU rRNA
Rfam family: Bacterial small subunit ribosomal RNA
Source: RNAcentral